ACCGGGCGCGGUGGCGCACGCCUGUAGUCUCAGCUACUCAGGAGGCUGAGACAGGAGGAUCGCUUGAGUCCAGGAGUUCUGGGCUGUAGUGCGCUGUUCCUAUCGGGUGUCUGCACUAAGUUCGGCACCAAUAUGGUGUCCUCCCGAGAGCGGGGAGAUACCAGGUUGCCUAAGGAGUGGUGAACCGGCCCAGGUUGGAGACAAAUGAGACAGACCACUUGGAGAUACUCACAUAUUCCCCACGAUGUGUAACGACCAAUGGGAGCCUCACCAGACCUCCACCAUAUAGACUGGAUUUCACCUUUU
Mesocricetus auratus (golden hamster) is the source of this 306-nucleotide non-coding RNA. The record is from Rfam. NCBI's taxonomy places the organism in Eukaryota, Metazoa, Chordata, Mammalia, Rodentia, Cricetidae.